Molecule: ribosomal RNA, 774 nt
Filed under: uncultured Paludibacter sp.
Lineage: Bacteria; Pseudomonadati; Bacteroidota; Bacteroidia; Bacteroidales; Paludibacteraceae
Description: bacterial SSU rRNA
Rfam family: Bacterial small subunit ribosomal RNA
Source: RNAcentral
GUAGCAAUACUUUGGUGGCGACCGGCGCACGGGUGAGUAACACGUAUGCAACCUGCCUGUAAGUGGGGAAUAACCCGGAGAAAUUCGGACUAAUACCGCAUAAAACUGCGAAACUGCAUGGUUUUGCAUUUAAACAUUUAUGGCUUACAGAUGGGCAUGCGUAUGAUUAGCUAGUUGGUGAGGUAACGGCUCACCAAGGCAACGAUCAUUAGGGGUUCUGAGAGGAAGGUCCCCCACACUGGUACUGAGACACGGACCAGACUCCUACGGGAGGCAGCAGUGAGGAAUAUUGGUCAAUGGGCGAGAGCCUGAACCAGCCAAGUCGCGUGAAGGAAGAAGGUUCUAUGGAUUGUAAACUUCUUUUGUAAGGGAAUAAAAAGAGUUACGUGUAACUUAUUGUAUGUACUUUACGAAUAAGGAUCGGCUAACUCCGUGCCAGCAGCCGCGGUAAUACGGAGGAUCCAAGCGUUAUCCGGAUUUAUUGGGUUUAAAGGGUGCGUAGGCGGACCCUUAAGUCAGUGGUGAAAGUUUGCGGCUCAACCGUAAAAUUGCCAUUGAAACUGAGGGUCUUGAGUGUAAAUGAGGUAGGCGGAAUGUGUUGUGUAGCGGUGAAAUGCUUAGAUAUAACACAGAACACCAAUUGCGAAGGCAGCUUACUGGGAUACAACUGACGCUGAGGCACGAAAGCGUGGGGAUCAAACAGGAUUAGAUACCCUGGUAGUCCACGCAGUAAACGAUGAAUACUAACUGUAUGCGAUAUACUGUAUGCGGUAC